Molecule: transfer RNA, 139 nt
Filed under: Chloroflexota bacterium
Lineage: Bacteria; Bacillati; Chloroflexota
Description: tRNA-OTHER
Source: RNAcentral
GGCGGCGUAGCGUAGUGGACCAACGCGCCAAAACGCCCUCAGCCACAACUUGCCCAGCACCCUUGAGGUGAGGGCCGGAGGAUGAGGGUUACCGCUGUGGACGGGGAGAUCGAGGGUUCGAAUCCCUCCGCCGCCCCCA